CCUACGGGAGGCAGCAGUAGGGAAUCUUCCACAAUGGGCGAAAGCCUGAUGGAGUAACGCCGCGUGGGUGAAGAAGGUCUUCGGAUCGUAAAGCCCUGUUGUUAGAGAAGAAAGUGCGAGAGAGUAACUGUUCACGUUUCGACGGUAUUUAACCAGAAAGCCACGGCUAACUACGUGCCAGCAGCCGCGGUAAUACGUAGGUGGCAAGCGUUAUCCGGAUUUAUUGGGCGUAAAGGGAACGCAGGCGGUUCUAUAAGUCUGAUGUGAAAGCCUUCGGCUUAACCGGAGUAGUGCAUUGGAAACUGGGGGACUUGAGUGCAGAAGAGGAGAGUGGAACUCCAUGUGUAGCGGGGAAAUGCGGAGAUAUAUGGAAGAACACCAGUGGCGAAAGCGGCUCUCUGGUCUGCAACUGACGCUGAGGUUCGAAAGCAUGGGUAGCAAACAGGAUUAGAUACCCUGGUAGUC
RNAcentral lists this ribosomal RNA (465 nucleotides) under uncultured bacterium. RNAcentral describes it as "partial 16S ribosomal RNA". It matches the Rfam family "Bacterial small subunit ribosomal RNA", at positions 338 to 795 of the family's 1533-position model. The record is from RNAcentral.